CUUCGUCCACAGUUUAUGAGAUAGCAUUUUGGGUAUAUCAUGAAAAAAUAGUUCAAAUAUAUAAUAAAAUAACUUAUAAAAUAUUUGAUUACGAUGAUAUCAAUCUAAUAUCAGAAUGUUUUUGGGUCUGAUAUUGGUUAUGGAUAUAUGGUUUUAAUUGGAUUUGCAUUUCGACUUGGAUCUAACACACGUAGACUUGGUCAAAUCCAACAUGAACACGACCUGCCAACACCUCUAACCAUAUUUAUAAGUAAAAAUCAUCUCCACAUUCUAUGCACAUUGUCUCCUGCCAAGCUGUGGUGCUUGCCUAAAUUUGAUGGAUACCUCAUGACAAAAUCGAGAAAACUUAUAACCAUUAACAUAUAUGAAGUAUGCAUUUAGAGUGGAAUUAUUCUGGUUAUAGUGCACAGACGUGAUUUGUCUGAUUUCUAUUCUAAGUAACGAGAG
This 447-nucleotide long non-coding RNA is filed under the name Elaeis guineensis (African oil palm). RNAcentral's name for it is "long non-coding RNA (EGUI_LNC051786)". Lineage: Eukaryota; Viridiplantae; Streptophyta; Magnoliopsida; Arecales; Arecaceae. The record is from RNAcentral.